GACGAACGCUGGCGGCGUGCCUAAUACAUGCAAGUCGAACGCACUCUCGUUUAGAUUGAAGGAGCUUGCUCCUGAUUGAUAAACAUUUGAGUGAGUGGCGGACGGGUGAGUAACACGUGGGUAACCUGCCCUAAAGUGGGGGAUAACAUUUGGAAACAGAUGCUAAUACCGCAUAAAACCCAACACCGCAUGGUGUAGGGUUGAAAGAUGGUUUCGGCUAUCACUUUAGGAUGGACCCGCGGUGCAUUAGUUAGUUGGUGAGGUAAAGGCUCACCAAGACCGUGAUGCAUAGCCGACCUGAGAGGGUAAUCGGCCACACUGGGACUGAGACACGGCCCAGACUCCUACGGGAGGCAGCAGUAGGGAAUCUUCCACAAUGGACGAAAGUCUGAUGGAGCAACGCCGCGUGAGUGAAGAAGGUUUUCGGAUCGUAAAACUCUGUUGUUGGAGAAGAAUGUAUCUGAUAGUAACUGAUCAGGUAGUGACGGUAUCCAACCAGAAAGCC
RNAcentral lists this ribosomal RNA (505 nucleotides) under uncultured bacterium. Its description in RNAcentral is "bacterial SSU rRNA". It matches the Rfam family "Bacterial small subunit ribosomal RNA", at positions 28 to 492 of the family's 1533-position model. The record is from RNAcentral.